GCUUCGGCGGUGCAGUUGGUUAGCACCAGUUGUUUUGCACGACAGGUUUAGGGUUCGAUUCCCUACCGGGGCU
Molecule: transfer RNA, 73 nt
Filed under: Morchella conica CCBAS932
Lineage: Eukaryota; Fungi; Ascomycota; Pezizomycetes; Pezizales; Morchellaceae
Description: tRNA-Gln
Source: RNAcentral